This 775-nucleotide ribosomal RNA is filed under the name uncultured Neocallimastigales. RNAcentral describes it as "partial large subunit ribosomal RNA". It matches the Rfam family "Eukaryotic large subunit ribosomal RNA", at positions 24 to 639 of the family's 3401-position model. The record is from RNAcentral. Lineage: Eukaryota; Fungi; Neocallimastigomycota; Neocallimastigomycetes; Neocallimastigales.
GUAGUCUCGCACAGAUGCAUAUCAAUAAGCGGAGGAAAAGAAACUAACAAGGAUUCCCCUAGUAACGGCGAGUGAAGCGGGAAGAGCUCAAAUUUGAAAUCUUAAAGGGUUUCCCUUUACGAAUUGUAGUUUAAAGAAGUGUUUUCUGUUGAGGUUUUGGUAAAAGUUCUUUGGAAUAGGACAUCAUAGAGGGUGAGAAUCCCGUAUUUGACCUUUACUUUCAACUUUGUGAUACACUUUCAAAGAGUCGGAUUGUUUGGGAAUGCAGUCCAAAAUGGGUGGUAAAUUUCAUCUAAAGCUAAAUAUUGGCGAGAGACCGAUAGCGAACAAGUACCGUGAGGGAAAGAUGAAAAGAACUUUGAAAAGAGAGUUAAACAGUACGUGAAAUUGUCAAAAGGGAAGCGUUUGACACCAGUGUUGUUUUUCUGAAAAUCAAUUAAAGAACUGUUUAUGCUAAGUUGUUUAGACUUUAUCAGCUAACUGUUUAGUUUUGAGCUUUUCUUUAAUGCACUUUUCAGUUAACAAGUCAACAUCAAUUUCUUUUGCUGUAAAAAAGCUUGAGGAAGGUGGCUUGAGAUUCGUCUUAAGUGUUUAUAGCCUCUUGCCUAUGCAGUCGGAGAGAUUGAGGUCUGCAGCGUAGAUCCUUCGGGGCUAAAUGCAUUUGUGCUAAGUUAUAGCAUUUUAUAGACAACUUGUUGACUAUGAUUUGUCUUGUAGCUUACUCGCUUAUGCUAUUUUACCUACGCUUAGGAUGUUGAACUACAUGAGACAUAGA